RNAcentral lists this ribosomal RNA (253 nucleotides) under uncultured bacterium. RNAcentral's name for it is "partial 16S ribosomal RNA". It matches the Rfam family "Bacterial small subunit ribosomal RNA", at positions 524 to 776 of the family's 1533-position model. The record is from RNAcentral.
UACAGAGGCCUCAAGCGUUGUUCGGAAUUACUGGGCGUAAAGAGCAUGUAGGUGGACAUGCAAGUCAGAUGUGAAAGCCCUGGGCUUAACCCGGGAAGUGCGUCUGAUACUGCAUGUCUGGAGUGCGAUAGAGGAGACUGGAAUUCCUGGUGUAGGGGUGAAAUCCGUAGAUAUCAGGAGGAAUACCGAUGGUGAAGACAGGUCUCUGGCUCGUAACUGACACUGAGAUGCGAAAGCGUGGGUAGCAAACAGG